UACGAAGGGGACUAGCGUUGCUCGGAAUUACUGGGCGUAAAGGGAGCGUAGGCGGUCGAUCAAGUCAGAGGUGAAAGCCUGGAGCUUAACUCCAGAACUGCCUUUGAUACUGUUCGACUCGAGUUUGGGAGAGGUUAGUGGAAUACCGAGUGUAGAGGUGAAAUUCGUAGAUAUUCGGUGGAACACCAGUGGCGAAGGCGACUAACUGGACCAAUACUGACGCUGAGGCUCGAAAGCGUGGGGAUCAAACAGG
This 253-nucleotide ribosomal RNA is filed under the name uncultured bacterium. RNAcentral describes it as "partial 16S ribosomal RNA". It matches the Rfam family "Bacterial small subunit ribosomal RNA", at positions 524 to 776 of the family's 1533-position model. The record is from RNAcentral.